UGGCGGACGGGUGNGUAACGCGUGAGCAACCUGCCCUUCGGAACGGGAUAGUGUCUGGAAACGGACAGUAAUACCGUAUAACGAUUUUUACCGCAUGAUAGAAAUACCAAAACUGAGGUGCCGAAGGAUGGGCUCGCGUCUGAUUAGAUAGUUGGUGGGGUAACGGCCUACCAAGUCGACGAUCAGUAGCCGGACUGAGAGGUUGAACGGCCACAUUGGGACUGAGACACGGCCCAGACUCCUACGGGAGGCAGCAUG
This 258-nucleotide ribosomal RNA is filed under the name uncultured bacterium. RNAcentral describes it as "partial 16S ribosomal RNA". It matches the Rfam family "Bacterial small subunit ribosomal RNA", at positions 96 to 353 of the family's 1533-position model. The record is from RNAcentral.